ACGAACGCUGGCGGCGUGCCUAAUACAUGCAAGUCGAGCGGAAUGAUGAAGAAGCUUGCUUCUUCUGAUUUUAGCGGCGGACGGGUGAGUAACACGUGGGCAACCUACCUUGUAGAUUGGGAUAACUCCGGGAAGCCGGGGCUAAUACCGAAUAAUCCAUUUUGCUUCAUGGCGAGAUGUUGAAAGAUGGUUUCGGCUAUCACUUACGGAUGAGCCCGCGGCGCAUUAGCUAGUUGGUAGGGUAAUGGCCUACCAAGGCGACGAUGCGUAGCUGACCUGAGAGGGUGAUCGGCCACACUGGGACUGAGACACGGCCCAGACUCCUACGGGAGGCAGCAGUAGGGAAUCUUCCACAAUGGACGAAAGUCUGAUGGAGCAACGCCGCGUGGGUGAAGAAGGUUUUCGGAUCGUAAAACUCUGUUGUAAGGGAAGAACACGUACGAGAGUAACUGCUCGUACCUUGACGGUACCUUAUUAGAAAGCCACGGCUAACUACGUG
This 499-nucleotide ribosomal RNA is filed under the name uncultured bacterium. RNAcentral's name for it is "bacterial SSU rRNA". It matches the Rfam family "Bacterial small subunit ribosomal RNA", at positions 29 to 507 of the family's 1533-position model. The record is from RNAcentral.